RNAcentral lists this ribosomal RNA (253 nucleotides) under uncultured bacterium. RNAcentral's name for it is "partial 16S ribosomal RNA". It matches the Rfam family "Bacterial small subunit ribosomal RNA", at positions 524 to 776 of the family's 1533-position model. The record is from RNAcentral.
UACGGAGGGUGCGAGCGUUGUCCGGAAUCAUUGGGCGUAAAGCGUGCGCAGGCGGCUUUGCAAGACAGAUGUGAAAUCCCCGGGCUUAACCUGGGAACUGCAUUUGUGACUGCAUGGCUGGAGUGCGGCAGAGGGGGAUGGAAUUCCGCGUGUAGCAGUGAAAUGCGUAGAUAUGCGGAGGAACACCGAUGGCGAAGGCAAUCCCCUGGGCCUGCACUGACGCUCAUGCACGAAAGCGUGGGGAGCAAACAGG